Salvia splendens (bonfire salvia) is the source of this 121-nucleotide small nuclear RNA. RefSeq annotates it as U5 spliceosomal RNA. Lineage: Eukaryota; Viridiplantae; Streptophyta; Magnoliopsida; Lamiales; Lamiaceae. The transcript has a single exon. The record is from RefSeq and is a predicted model, not a curated record.
CAGCUGCGCGUUGAGCACAUAGCGGACUAUUCUUUCGCCUUUUACUAAAGAAUACCGUGUGCUUGUCGCAAUUUAAGCAGCAUACUAAUCUUUUUGGAGGGUUUUUCUAUAUUAGAAAAGC